RNAcentral lists this long non-coding RNA (437 nucleotides) under Eutrema salsugineum. Its description in RNAcentral is "long non-coding RNA (ESAL_LNC000478)". Lineage: Eukaryota; Viridiplantae; Streptophyta; Magnoliopsida; Brassicales; Brassicaceae. The record is from RNAcentral.
UCCACAUCGACAAACUUGGAUUAUUGAGUAGUGGAAGCUGCACUAUAAAUAAGAGCCUUCAUCCUUUUAAUUAAUUUUUAUCCAAUUUAUGGCCCAUUUCGAAGACUGAAUGCGUUGGACCUGUAUAAUACAUUCUUGUUGGGCCUGUAUUUGAGUCCAAUUUUGAACAUAAAUAAUCCAGUUUUUUAAGAAAUCAGUUUAGGCGGUUUAAAAUUGAUUAGGUGAUUUUUUUUAAACACAGGUACACGUGGAGAAAGUUGAUGCUGAUGUGUCAUUCAACUGGAGAAAGUUGGCCAAAGUUGAUGCUGAUGUGUCAUUCAACUGGAGAAAGUUGGCCAGCUUUUAGCUUUUAUAUAUAAGAUGUUAAUAUCGGAUCACCAAAAUCUAAAUCAUAUGUAUUUGAAUUAUCAUAAAUAUUUACCAUACGUCGAUGUUAA